Molecule: ribosomal RNA, 253 nt
Filed under: uncultured bacterium
Lineage: Bacteria
Description: partial 16S ribosomal RNA
Rfam family: Bacterial small subunit ribosomal RNA
Source: RNAcentral
UACGUAGGUGGCAAGCGUUGUCCGGAUUUAUUGGGUUUAAAGGGUGCGUAGGCGGUUUGAUCAGUCAGUCGUUAAAGGCAGCAGCUUAACUGUUGUAAGGCGAUUGAUACUGUCGAACUUGAAUUCGUUUGAGGUACUUGGAAUGCGUAGUGUAGCGGUGAAAUGCAUAGAUAUUACGCGGAACGCCAAUUGCGGAGGCAGAGUACUAGGACGAGAUUGACGCUGAGGCACGAAAGUGUGGGUAGCAAACAGG